AGACGGAGUUAUUAUUUUAGCUUUAUACUUUUAUAACGUAUAAGAAAAACGCGACGAGGAUUAUUGAGCCAUUCAAUAAUUUAUUAUCCAGUUUGAUAACUGACUUAGCAAAGUCAAGUUAUUAAUUUAUAUGCGAUAGAAAUAGUAUUUCUAUUAUUUACUUGAAGUCGUGAUUAAUUUUCGACUUAUAAAACGAAUUAUAAAAUAUGUAAUUCGUAGAGAGUUAUAACGAAGCGUCGUUAUUUAGUAGAACCCAAUAUUAGUUUUACAAAUACUUGUAACUUCAAUACUUUACAAAUCAUUAUUUUUCCACUCCCUAAUGUUUCCUACACUAUACACGCAUAAUCUCCACUUCUCCACUCCACCAACUAUCUCCAUCACCUUUUGCUUUCUUCCACUACAUUUUUUCUCACCACCCUUUCCACUCCACUAAUUCCACUACACCAAACUUUCCACCUACUCCCUUCCCCACCACACGCAAGAAUGCAUCUAACAUUCCAUUAUACAGGCAACAAUCUUUUCAUCAUCUUCAUUCUUCACUAAGGAACCGAAGAGCAGCCACGAGUUCUGCCAUAAGCACACUGCUCCGGCAGUGUUUUGCAAGGCGAUUCCAGCCAUCCAAAAGGUUCCCAAAAAUUCCCAAAUUAAUUGUGUAUCAUCUUUCAUAUGUUUUCUAUACUUUGGCAAAAUUUCAGAAGGUCCGGGCGACAGAAAGUGAAGCCGAAGAAGAAACGACUCCACGCCAGCUUUAAGAACAAUUGAGAAUGCCGCCUAAGAGAGGACGCCCUGCGAGAAACAAUAACAAUCGCAGAAACCGUAACGCUGUACCCGAAGAACCACAAGAUGCUCGAGGACAUAACCCAUCCCUCCGCCCCCAACUAGGAGAGUCGAAGAACUCUUUUUAAGGCAAAAUCCGCCUACGUUUGACGGAACGAGUGAACCAGCUGAAGCUGAGAUUUGGGUGCGUGCAAAUGAACGCAUCUUCAACUUUCUACAUUGUACUGAUGAGGAGCGCCUAUCUUGCGUCUCAUUCCAGCUAACAUGAUCAGCGGAUUUCUGGUGGGAAACACGACGAAAAAUUCUGACACCUGAACAAUGGGCAAGUUAUACUUGGGAAGAUUUUAAGACAGGAUUAUAUGAUAAAUAUAUUCCGAAAAGCUAUAGGAAGAAGAAAGAAGUUAAGUUCUACGAGUUGAAGCAAGGAAAGAAAUCUGUGGUUGAAUAAAACAAGGAAUUUCACCUUGCCCAAAUUGUGGUAAGAUGCAUAGGGGUGUCUGUCGUGCCGGGACUAACGGUUGUUACAAUUGUGGCCAAAAGGGUCACUACUCCACGCAAUGCCCCAACAAACAACGAGGUUCAACAAUUGAGAACAGCCACACCCCCUUGCCAGCAAUACGUGGACACUUGCGAAAUCAGUUUCAAUCACAUCAGUGAAAAUCUUAUGGAGGCACCGCAGAUAUAAAAAAAAAUUACGUGGGAGUUUGAAGACAAAAUGAAAGAGAAGUACCCGGAUUGUUUUAACAGAGAUAUGCAAAUUUCGGGACGAAAUUUUUGUUAAGAGGGGUAGUAUGUAGUAGCCCGCUCUUUUAUUUAUGAUAAAAACUAGUAAAUGCAAUUUUUAUAAAUGAAACCAGUUUAUGGUCCUGAUUUUUUUUUUAUCAGAGACGGAGUUAUUAUUUUAGCUUUAUACUUUUAUAACGUAUAAGAAAAACGCGACGAGGAUUAUUGAGCCAUUCAAUAAUUUAUUAUCCAGUUUGAUAACUGACUUAGCAAAGUCAAGUUAUUAAUUUAUAUGCGAUAGAAAUAGUAUUUCUAUUAUUUACUUGAAGUCGUGAUUAAUUUUCGACUUAUAAAACGAAUUAUAAAAUAUGUAAUUCGUAGAGAGUUAUAACGAAGCGUCGUUAUUUAGUAGAACCCAAUAUUAGUUUUACAAAUACUUGUAACUUCAAUACUUUACAAAUCAUUAUUUUUCCACUCCCUAAUGUUUCCUACACUAUACACGCAUAAUCUCCACUUCUCCACUCCACCAACUAUCUCCAUCACCUUUUGCUUUCUUCCACUACAUUUUUUCUCACCACCCUUUCCACUCCACUAAUUCCACUACACCAAACUUUCCACCUACUCCCUUCCCCACCACACGCAAGAAUGCAUCUAACAUUCCAUUAUACAGGCAACAAUCUUUUCAUCAUCUUCAUUCUUCACUAAGGAACCGAAGAGCAGCCACGAGUUCUGCCAUAAGCACACUGCUCCGGCAGUGUUUUGCAAGGCGAUUCCAGCCAUCCAAAAGGUCCGGGCGACAGAAAGUGAAGCCGAAGAAGAAACGACUCCACGCCAGCUUUAAGAACAAUUGAGGUUGAGUUGUGAUGGGCGAUGAAGUGUUGCUGAGUGGAGUUUUUGUUGAACUUAAAGUAGGCUCAGAAAGGAUACAUGUCUUCAUACAUGUAUCUCAGUUAUGCAUUCCGCUGUAAACACUGAUUAUUUCAGUUACACCUUCCGUUGCAAACUCUGAUAAUGUUUUAGCCAAGCCCCUAACGAUGCCUUUUUCCUUUUUAGGAAUAUAACGCUUAUACAAGUUCGUUGAGUACCCUUUUUAUGCGAA
Molecule: long non-coding RNA, 2599 nt
Organism: Salvia miltiorrhiza (redroot sage)
Lineage: Eukaryota; Viridiplantae; Streptophyta; Magnoliopsida; Lamiales; Lamiaceae
Exons: 5
Source: RefSeq, a predicted model, not a curated record